Molecule: long non-coding RNA, 3123 nt
Organism: Sorghum bicolor (sorghum)
Lineage: Eukaryota; Viridiplantae; Streptophyta; Magnoliopsida; Poales; Poaceae
Exons: 2
Source: RefSeq, a predicted model, not a curated record
AUCCGCUUCCCCGCGCGUAGGGUGUGGACCCGGUGUCGCUACUCCUUCCCCCUCGCGAGAUCCAGGAACCAAUCACGCUCCCUUCCCAUGCGAGAAUCCCUCUCUCCCGUGCUCCUCACCACGCAUGCCCACGCCGCCGCCUCCUCUCCCUCAAUGUCGCACUUGCGUCGUCUUCGCUCACACCGGACAGAUGAGCCCUGGAUCCCACCGCGUCGUCAUCGGGAGAAGCCAAGCCUGAACUCCGUCGCCUGAACGCCGUCGCCUGCUCUUCCUCCUCGUCGCGCCUGCACCAUCGUCCUUGCAAUGUGUGCCCAUGUGGCCUUGGCUCUGCAACGCCGUCUUCCUUGCCAUGGACACCCGUUCCAUGCGGCCUUGGCCCCUCCCCCUUUGCUGGCGCGAGCGCAGCAACUCGGUUGCAGCCUUGGCGUGGCGCUCGAGGUAGCCAUCGGAACUAGGCACAACAACGGCGGGCAAAGGUUCGCUGCAAUAGUCAGAUCCGGUAAGUCCAGGGUGCCUACACUCGAUUUACGCCCUGCCCUUGCUCACCCGCCUUUCUGAGCUCUCCACGUCUUGAAUCCACGGUGGACAUGAAGAAGUAACUAUCAGAUGGCAAAAAGCUGGAGCCUGAUGUGGACUAGGCGAGUAGCAUCAGCGAUGAGCAGGACCUCUGUGUAGGUGCUAACUGUUGCAGUCUACAACCACUAUAAACGGAUAUACCAUCAACCUUUACAAAAGGGGUCAGUUUCACUUUGCUGUGUCAAUUUGUCUUUUCUGCAAAUAAUGAAUGAUAUUCAUUUCUGCACCCAUAGAAACUGGAGUUCAUAAAUAUAGUUCAGUGACUAAUUAUGUGGUAUAUAAGCUAGGUAGGUCUGGAGCAGAUUUGGGUGGGUUUAAUGGUAAACCAGAUGUCGGCAAUAAUGUCGAACUAGAGAAAAACAAUGUGCUAUUAAUGGGACCUAUUUUCUCUGCUCUGGUAAGGCAUUUGUAACUAUUUAAAGCAAUGUGCUAAUGCCGUGAACAAUGUGCAACCAUUUAAAACAAUGAUAUUUUAGCUAUUAUAUAAUUUUGGCCUUGGUAUAUAGUUCCAGCCGUCCUUUUCUACUCAUAUGCUUGCUAAAUUAAGUGAUUUAGUUAUUGCAUUUGUUUCUUUGCACGCUUCUCAAGAGGAUUAUUUCCGUUUACCGCUUGACACAAGGCUCCUGGUUGAACUUCCCAGAUGUGUGUUACCUUUCAGCUGCUAAUUUUCAUUGUUUUUCUGAUGGGUUAACCUGCAGCAAGUUGUGUCCUUCUGAUAAGGUUCUCUUUAUGUAAGAAGAAAAAACAUAUGACCUACUGACUUUUCUGUAUGCAAAAUAAAAUUAUAGUUUUGUUUGAUUAUUGUAAAAAUGUCUAGCAGAUUGAUUAUAAAAGGACAGUUUUGUUUGAUCAUAAUAGAGAUCAUAAUUGGGUGAAUGAGAAUUGACAAAUGAUUCUUUUAUCCAAGUACCUUCUAUUUCUGUACCUAUGUUGUAUGUCAGUGUAGACCCUUGAAAUUUCUUUCAUUUUGUAAUAUAUAAUCAAGUCAUGGUGCCCUGAAAUUACCAUAAGAAACGGUGGAAGAAAAAUUGAUUAUUAGAUAAAUGCUAUUAAUAUCAAAGUCACGUCAACAAUACAGCUUUAUAUGUAAAAACUCAGUCUAUGAUCGGAUGCCAAAUAAAGAGGGUAUAAAGAAAUUACAUAACCACACUGUUAUGAUGUGACUACUAAUUUCUCACUUAGGAUAUGGCAACCAUGCACAUCAGAGAGAUUGAAGUAAUCAAGAACUACGAAUUUAGUUCAUACUGGUAUGCUAUGUUUACAUGGUAUGAUCCCAACAUUUUCUCUAUUGAAUGCUUAAAUGGCGUGUUUCCUUUCUUUAUGUAAUGUGUUCAUUCAGGCUGCUGCUUUUUUGUCCAUGGCGGCCAUCGGUACGUAGAACUUCCAAUUAAGCUAGCAAUCUAGCAUCGAGGAGAUCAAACAUACAUUUCUAUCAACUUCUGCAAGCAUUCUCUUUAUUGGUUCUUCUAAAGUAAUCAUGUUCCUGUUUACAUGGUAAGAGGUAAACUACAAUAAGCUGCAAAAAGGAUAUUGGUAGGCUCUCUAACCUCAAUUCAGAAUCUUGCUAAGUUUAUAUCUAUGGUGACAUCUAAGUCCAGCUUGAGCAUUUGAGUAUACAUUUUUCUUUUUUUUCUUUUUAUAAUUUCCACAUCGCUUUUUCAGUAGCUAUAAGCAUUAAGAACACAACGAUUCAUGAGCAGAGUGCUGGUGGUGGCCUCUCUUCACUAAGUUAAAAAGGUCCUCUUUUCAUGUCCCUUGCUAUUUUUGCAUUCAAACAGGAAUAACCAGAAUGUUAUCAAAUCAAGGCCAUAACUGACAUGAUAAUUUUAGAGCAUGAUGCCCUAAGGUUGUUUCCUACUUAUCCUAUCUCUCUCUGCUUUUCUCAUAUGGUUUUAGAUGUAAGUCACAGUCGGCGUGUCCUUGAUAUUGUUUAACCUCUAGAUGACCACUUUUGAGCUAUCAUAAUUUUAGAUCAUGCCACUUAGGUGUCAUUCGAAUACUAUAUCAUUUGCCUGAUCAUAAAGGAUAUUGGAGCCAUUUACAAUAUGCAAGAAUAUCUGAAUUUUGAUGAUACAUGAUAUCUUAUUUGUUAUUAGCAGUAUGGUUUCCAUUGUUACACUGUGGCAUAAUCUCAUAUAUUAGGCUCUAUCAUUAUAUGAGGAAAGCUAAUCUCCAUUGUUAUUAGUAUGUAUGAAUUUUAAUUCAUCCUAUGCAUAUGGCUUACAUGAGUUUUUUUCCAUGAAUAUGGACUGGUGGGCACCAUGGAGGAGACUUGAGGCUCCAUUGAUGUUCUGAAGGUUUUUGAUUCCCUGUAACUCUUCAGCGCGUAGUAGUGAAAGUUUUUUGGAGCACGAGAAGAUAUUGUAAUGUGUUUGGCUAUUUGUGAUGUCUAAUGUAUCUCAAUGAUCCAUUAUUUUAGGAAAAAAAUGUAAAUCACCUUCCAUAAGAUAGCCAAUAGCAAGACUGGAAUGACUGCCUCAUCAUACUUAGAGAAUCAUUUUUUAUAACAGUUAAACAUUAAAUAUGAAGGGAGGCCAUCGUAUACCA